AACGAACGCUGGCGGCAGGCCUAACACAUGCAAGUCGAGCGAGGACUUCGGUCCUAGCGGCGGACGGGGGAGUAACGCGUGGGAACGUGCCCUUUGCUUCGGAAUAGCCCGGGGAAACUGGGAGUAAUACCGGAUGAGCCCUUUGGGGGAAAGAUUUAUCGGCGAAGGAUCGGCCCGCGUUGGAUUAGGUGGUUGGGGGGGUAAUGGCCUACCAAGCCGACGAUCCAUAGCUGGUUUGAGAGGAUGAUCAGCCACACUGGGACUGAGACACGGCCCAGACUCCUACGGGAGGCAGCAGUGGGGGAUCUUGGACAAUGGGGGAAACCCUGAUCUAGCCAUGCCGCGUGAGCGAUGAAGGCCUUAGGGUUGUAAAGCUCUUUCAGCUGGGAAGAUAAUGACGGUACCAGCAGAAGAAGCCCCGGCUAACUCCGUG
This 433-nucleotide ribosomal RNA is filed under the name uncultured bacterium. RNAcentral's name for it is "partial 16S ribosomal RNA". It matches the Rfam family "Bacterial small subunit ribosomal RNA", at positions 29 to 507 of the family's 1533-position model. The record is from RNAcentral.